AGUCAUCGACCGCGCAGAAAACUAGUUCUCACUUUUUUCCAACGUUUCGGCAGGUUCAAAAUAGCACUUCUCCCUCUUCUUCUUCCCAUCGCCUCCUCGCAUUUGCUUGAUAGACAUCGCUAGUGAUUUUUCACUGGCAGAUGACAAUAAAAAACUUGUCCACCUUUUACUUUUUUCGGAAAUCUU
Non-coding RNA from Caenorhabditis elegans, 186 nucleotides. The record is from Ensembl. Lineage: Eukaryota; Metazoa; Nematoda; Chromadorea; Rhabditida; Rhabditidae.